GGCCAGCUGGUCUCAAGUGAAAAGAAGGCAAACGUGAAUCUGAAAGACCUUUCCAAGAUUAGGGAGAGAAAGAGAGGCAAACCUGGAACCCGCUUCACUCAGAGUGACAGAGCUCCACAGAAAAGAGUUCGAUCAAGAGGUAAAAAGAAAAGAGGAUUGCACUUUCAAUAACUAAACAUCUAAUUUCUUGCGCUUUAUGCUAUAUUUUCAGUAAUAAACCUAUUUCUUUAAUUGUUUUAUGAAGCUGUACUAACUAUUGAAAAACGUAUCCUAUGAAGUCAUUUUCCAAAA
This 291-nucleotide small RNA is filed under the name Pongo abelii (Sumatran orangutan). Its description in RNAcentral is "retained intron". Lineage: Eukaryota; Metazoa; Chordata; Mammalia; Primates; Hominidae. The record is from RNAcentral.